Long non-coding RNA from Clupea harengus (Atlantic herring), 360 nucleotides. RefSeq lists it as uncharacterized. NCBI's taxonomy places the organism in Eukaryota, Metazoa, Chordata, Actinopteri, Clupeiformes, Clupeidae. The record is from RefSeq and is a predicted model, not a curated record. The transcript has 3 exons.
AGAACCACACCUCCCUGUUCCAUCACACUGACUGAGGAGCUCAGAGGUCCAAACCCUGUUCAUACUCGGACAUGCCAGCUGACUGCAGGAGGGCAGGUUCAGACUUCUGUCUCCCACACCAUCAGAGUGAAAGGUGUCAAAUCCACAACUUCCUCUCCCUCUGUAUUGGAAUCCUCUCCCCGAAUGAAAACUGUCUCCACUGCUUCCUCAACCUCAACCUCAGGCCCAUCAGAGAUCGCCAUCAGACUCCCCAUCUUCUUCAUAGUGCUGAUUCUGCCUGGGCUCAUUGCAACUGUUCAUUUAGUGAGACAUUGUUUAAUCACACAGGUGUCAAAUCCACAACUUCCUCUUCCUCUUCCU